UCCCUCGUUCUUGCCGCGACGAACCCGAAAUCCCUUCGGAUUCCAUCUAUCCUUGAUCGAAGAACAAGCAGGCGUUGACCCCACAGAGGUAUCCAAAGAUGUUGGCAAGCAGGUCAACCAAGACCGUCAUUUGUCAUUCUAAAGUGCCCCGGGAAUCUUGUUCACUUUGUGAGCACAAGGGCAACCAUGUAAUGAGGAAAAAGAUGAGAGAGGGGAGGACAAA
Non-coding RNA from Musa acuminata subsp. malaccensis (wild Malaysian banana), 223 nucleotides. The record is from RefSeq and is a predicted model, not a curated record. NCBI's taxonomy places the organism in Eukaryota, Viridiplantae, Streptophyta, Magnoliopsida, Zingiberales, Musaceae.